UUCACUGUGAAAAUGCUUCCUUAACUGCUGUUUUCUCACCUCUGUCAUUUGUUGUGUUUAUUUUAUUGUUGAGAAGAAAGCGCACAGCACUUGUUUACCUAUUCAUCUGAAAUUCAUCUAAUUUUCAGCUCUCAGCAUGGGUGAUUUGUACAGGCUGUUCUGGUUUAAAUCCAGGACGACAUUUAUAUUGUAUUCUUGAAUUGAUUCUGUAGUUUGGUUGCCAUAAAUUAUAUAUAUAUAUACACACACACAAACAAACAUAACUGGUAUUGGCAUAAUGUGAAUAGCAAAGAUUGUAAUACUUUACAGCUGAACAAACCAGCACACAGUGGUUUUGGUGUACAUCCAUCUCGUGAACAUGUGGCCACUGCUGCUGUUUCACGAUAUCCAAACUCACAACGGUAAGAUUUUAUCGCUUCUAAUUUCUUAUCUCCGCUGAAGUAAUAGUACGGUCUAUACACAUUCUGGUCAUAUGGAGUUUCACAUGUAAUCUCUGUAACAAGAUUCACAUGCUUUUAGUAACAUGCAAUAAAUUCAUCACCAAAUCCAGAAAUGCUUUGCAUGUAAAUGAUCUGCUGUCUUCUUUUGUACCAUAGAACCAGUGUUUUUCAGAGCAGGUGAUCUCCACACUUUCUCCAGCUCUGAAAAUAGUCUUUCCAUAUGGGUUGGUCUUUUUUACUCCAAUUGUGGUUGACUUCAGCUCACAGGUUACUGCUGUACAAGACAUAAUUAUAUAGAACUAAUGGUAAGAAGACAUGAAGCAUCAAAAAUCUGUGAAACUGGAUCCAAUUUGUCUUUAGCAGGAAGCAAAAAAUUCUGACAUAAAAGAAAAAAAAAUCUGACUACAUUUUGUUGUCCAUAUAUUCUGUAAGUAUUAGAGGCACAUUUUCUACAUUGCAGUAUUUGUAAAACUACAAUGCAAAAUUAUUUUUCGAAGUUAUAACAGAAACAC
Long non-coding RNA from Cyprinus carpio carpio, 952 nucleotides. NCBI's taxonomy places the organism in Eukaryota, Metazoa, Chordata, Actinopteri, Cypriniformes, Cyprinidae. The record is from Ensembl.